GGAUCUUAUUUCUAACCCUUUAAUAAUGUAAUUUCCUAGGCACAUGAGAGUUGGUAAAUGCUCAUUUGUGAACAGCCAGAAAUAUUUCUUAUCAUUAGGUAGUUCUUUAAAAUUAGUACAAAAAGUUAUAACUUUAUCAUAUAAUAAUUUCCUCUGUUCAUCAUAUAAUGGACAAUUUACUGUAAAAUGGGUCUCAUCUUCAAUAGAAUUUGAUCCAUGUGAUAAGCAAUGAUGACAUAGACGUUGAGUUCUCUCUAUGUAUUUUUUAUUAUAUCUAUCUUUCUCAAUUUUAAGAUCAUGAGCACUUAUUCUCAUUUUACAUAUAGCUCUUCUUAUACUAAAAUCUUUAAUUGAUAAAUAGGCCUCCUUUACAAAGUCAGUCUUGAGGUUGAAAUAAUUCUCUAAUUUACUAUUACCUUGUGAUAAGGUUUCAGAUCUUUUGACCAACCAAAAUGUUUUGAAACUAUUACAAAGUUUACAUUUUACAAAUUUAAUUAAUUUAUUGAGCUUUGUAUCUAAAUUUUGUAUAUCAAGUGAUUGAAGUACAUAUUUCAU
This 555-nucleotide long non-coding RNA is filed under the name Mytilus galloprovincialis (Mediterranean mussel). The record is from RNAcentral. Lineage: Eukaryota; Metazoa; Mollusca; Bivalvia; Mytilida; Mytilidae.